GGUUAAGUGAAUAAGGGCGCACGGUGGAUGCCUUGGCACUAGGAGCCGAUGAAGGACGGGACUAACACCGAUAUGCUUUGGGGAGCUGUAAGUAAGCUAUGAUCCAGAGAUUUCCGAAUGGGGGAACCCAAUAUCUUUUAUAGGAUAUUACUUUUCAGUGAAUACAUAGCUGAUUAGAGGUAGACGCAGAGAACUGAAACAUCUUAGUACCUGCAGGAAGAGAAAGAAAAUUCGAUUCCCUGAGUAGCGGCGAGCGAAACGGGAAGAGCCCAAACCAACAAGCUUGCUUGUUGGGGUUGUAGGACUCCAAUAUGGUAGUCUGUUAGUAUAGUUGAAGGAUUUGGAAAAUUCCGCUAAAGAGGGUGAAAGCCCCGUAGACGAAAUGCUGACAACACCUAGGAGGAUCCUGAGUACGGCGGAACACGAGAAAUUCCGUCGGAAUCCGCGGGGACCAUCCCGCAAGGCUAAAUACUCCCUAGUGACCGAUAGUGAACCAGUACCGUGAGGGAAAGGUGAAAAGCACCCCGGAAGGGGAGUGAAAUAGAUCCUGAAACCGUGUGCCUACAACAAGUCAAAGCUCGUUAAUGAGUGAUGGCGUGCCUUUUGUAGAAUGAACCGGCGAGUUACGAUUGCAUGCGAGGUUAAGUCGAAGAGACGGAGCCGCAGCGAAAGCGAGUCUGAAUAGGGCGAAUGAGUAUGUAGUCGUAGACCCGAAACCAUGUGAUCUACCCAUGUCCAGGUUGAAGGUGCGGUAAAACGCACUGGAGGACCGAACCCACGUACGUUGAAAAGUGCGGGGAUGAGGUGUGGGUAGCGGAGAAAUUCCAAACGAACUUGGAGAUAGCUGGUUCUCUCCGAAAUAGCUUUAGGGCUAGCCUCGGAAUUGAGAAUGAUGGAGGUAGAGCACUGUUUGGACUAGGGGCCCAUCUCGGGUUACCGAAUUCAGAUAAACUCCGAAUGCCAUUCAUUUAUAUCCGGGAGUCAGACUGCGAGUGAUAAGAUCCGUAGUCGAAAGGGAAACAGCCCAGACCACCAGCUAAGGUCCCAAAAUAUAUGUUAAGUGGAAAAGGAUGUGGGGUUGCACAGACAACUAGGAUGUUGGCUUAGAAGCAGCCACCAUUUAAAGAGUGCGUAAUAGCUCACUAGUCGAGUGACCCUGCGCCGAAAAUGUACCGGGGCUAAACAUAUUACCGAAGCUGUGGACUACACCAUUAGGUGUAGUGGUAGGAGAGCGUUCUAAGGGCGUUGAAGGUCGAUCGUGAGGACGGCUGGAGCGCUUAGAAGUGAGAAUGCCGGUAUGAGUAGCGAAAGACAGGUGAGAAUCCUGUCCACCGUAUGACUAAGGUUUCCUGGGGAAGGCUCGUCCGCCCAGGGUUAGUCGGGACCUAAGCCGAGGCCGAUAGGCGUAGGCGAUGGACAACAGGUUGAUAUUCCUGUACCAGUUGUUUUUGUUUGAGCAAUGGAGGGACGCAGUAGGCUAAGGAAUGCAUGCGAUUGGAAGUGCAUGUCCAAGCAAUGAGUCUUGAGUAGAGUUAAAUGCUUUACUCUUUAAGGACAAGUUGUGACGGGGAGCGAAAUAAUAGUAGCGAAGUUCCUGAUGUCACACUGCCAAGAAAAGCUUCUAGUGAGAAAACAACUGCCCGUACCGUAAACCGACACAGGUAGUCGAGGAGAGUAUCCUAAGGUGAGCGAGCGAACUCUCGUUAAGGAACUCGGCAAAAUGACCCCGUAACUUCGGGAGAAGGGGUGCUGACUUCGGUCAGCCGCAGUGAAUAGGCCCAAGCGACUGUUUAUCAAAAACACAGGUCUCUGCAAAAUCGUAAGAUGAAGUAUAGGGGCUGACGCCUGCCCGGUGCUGGAAGGUUAAGAGGAUGGGUUAGCUUCGGCGAAGCUCAGAAUUGAAGCCCCAGUAAACGGCGGCCGUAACUAUAACGGUCCUAAGGUAGCGAAAUUCCUUGUCGGGUAAGUUCCGACCCGCACGAAAGGCGUAACGAUUUGGGCACUGUCUCAACG
RNAcentral lists this ribosomal RNA (2013 nucleotides) under Enterococcus faecalis. RNAcentral's name for it is "partial 23S ribosomal RNA". It matches the Rfam family "Bacterial large subunit ribosomal RNA", at positions 1 to 2026 of the family's 2925-position model. Lineage: Bacteria; Bacillati; Bacillota; Bacilli; Lactobacillales; Enterococcaceae. The record is from RNAcentral.